GACGAACGCUGGCGGCGUGCUUAACACAUGCAAGUCGAACGGAAAGGCCCUGCUUUUGUGGGGUGCUCGAGUGGCGAACGGGUGAGUAACACGUGAGUAACCUGCCCUUGACUUUGGGAUAACUUCAGGAAACUGGGGCUAAUACCGGAUAGGAGCUCCUGCUGCAUGGUGGGGGUUGGAAAGUUUCGGCGGUUGGGGAUGGACUCGCGGCUUAUCGGCUUGUUGGUGGGGUAGUGGCUUACCAAGGCUUUGACGGGUAGCCGGCCUGAGAGGGUGACCGGCCACAAUGGGACUGAGAUACGGCCCAGACUCCUACGGGAGGCAGCAGUGGGGAGUAUUGCGCAAUGGGCGGAAGCCUGAUGCAGCAACGCCGCGUGCGGGAUGACGGCCUUCGGGUUGUAAACCGCUUUCGCCUGUGACGAAGCGUGAGUGACGGUAAUGGGUAAAGAAGCACCGGCUAACUACGUG
This 468-nucleotide ribosomal RNA is filed under the name uncultured bacterium. RNAcentral's name for it is "partial 16S ribosomal RNA". It matches the Rfam family "Bacterial small subunit ribosomal RNA", at positions 28 to 507 of the family's 1533-position model. The record is from RNAcentral.